RNAcentral lists this ribosomal RNA (460 nucleotides) under uncultured bacterium. RNAcentral's name for it is "partial 16S ribosomal RNA". It matches the Rfam family "Bacterial small subunit ribosomal RNA", at positions 338 to 795 of the family's 1533-position model. The record is from RNAcentral.
CCUACGAGAGGCUGCAGUGAGGAAUAUUGGUCAAUGGACGCAAGUCUGAACCAGCCAUGCCGCGUGCAGGAAGACGGCUCUAUGAGUUGUAAACUGCUUUUGUACGAGGGUAAACGCAGAUCCGCGUAUCUUUCUUAAAGUAUCUUACGAAUAAGGAUCGGCUCACGCCGUGCCAGCAGCCGCGGUAAUACGGAGGAUUCAAGCGUUAUCCGGUUUUCUUGGGUUUAAAGGGUGCGUAGGCUGUCGGAUAAGUUAGAGGUGAAAUCCCGAGGCGCAACUUCGGACUUGCCUCUGAUACUGUUCGGCUAGAGAGUAGUUGCGGUAGGCGGAAUGUAUGGUGUAGCGGUGAAAUGCUUAGAGAUCACGCAGAACCCCGAUUGCGAAGGCAGCAUACCGGCGCCCGACUGACGCUGAGGCACGAAAGUGCGGGUAUCGAACAGGAUUAGAUAUCCGUGUAGUC